UACGUAGGGGGCAAGCGUUGUCCGGAAUUAUUGGGCGUAAAGGGCACGCAGGCGGUGGUUUAAGUUUGGUGUUUAAUCCCAGGGCUCAACCCUGGUACGCACUGAAAACUGGAUCACUUGAGUACAGAAGAGGAGAGUGGAAUUCCACGUGUAGCGGUGAAAUGCGUAGAGAUGUGGAGGAACACCAGUGGCGAAGGCGACUCUCUGGUCUGUAACUGACGCUGAGGUGCGAAAGCGUGGGGAGCAAACAGG
RNAcentral lists this ribosomal RNA (252 nucleotides) under uncultured bacterium. RNAcentral's name for it is "partial 16S ribosomal RNA". It matches the Rfam family "Bacterial small subunit ribosomal RNA", at positions 524 to 776 of the family's 1533-position model. The record is from RNAcentral.